RNAcentral lists this unclassified non-coding RNA (193 nucleotides) under uncultured Clitopilus. RNAcentral describes it as "sequence contains ITS2". The record is from RNAcentral. Lineage: Eukaryota; Fungi; Basidiomycota; Agaricomycetes; Agaricales; Entolomataceae.
CCUUCUCAACUAUACAAGUUUUUACAACAUGUAUAGCUUGGAUCUUGGGAUUUGCGGGCUUUCGCGAGUCAGCUAUCCUUAAAUGUAUUAGCAGAGCUUUUGCCGCUAACCCCUGGUGUGAUAAUUAUCUACGCCGUUGAGUUUCGACAAAUGAGGCUUAGCUUCUAAUCGUCUGAAAGGACAACAUUUGACA